Molecule: unclassified non-coding RNA, 249 nt
Filed under: Glomeraceae sp.
Lineage: Eukaryota; Fungi; Glomeromycota; Glomeromycetes; Glomerales; Glomeraceae
Description: partial contains 5.8S ribosomal RNA and internal transcribed spacer 2
Rfam family: 5.8S ribosomal RNA (bases 1-65)
Source: RNAcentral
GUGAAUCAUCAAAUCUUUGAACGCAAAUUGCACUCUCCUCGGAGAGUAUGCCUGUUUGAGGGUCAGCCUAUAAAAAAUCGACAUCGUUGCUGUUUCGCGGUGGCGUUCUUCGGAAAUUGGGUCAUCUUAAAUCUUUUGGUUUUAAGCGACUUAAAAUUUUCUUUUUGGUUCCAUGAACGUUUCUAAGAUUUAUUUCUUUACACGUUUAUGUUAUCGAUUUUUUUUAGACUUGACCUUGAUAUCGGAUCG